UACGUAGGGUGCGAGCGUUGUCCGGAAUUAUUGGGCGUAAAGAGCUCGUAGGCGGUCUGUCGCGUCUGCUGUGAAAUCCCGAGGCUCAACCUCGGGCUUGCAGUGGGUACGGGCAGGCUAGAGUGCGGUAGGGGAGAAUGGAACUCCUGGUGUAGCGGUGGAAUGCGCAGAUAUCAGGAGGAACACCGGUGGCGAAGGCGGGUCUCUGGGCCGAUACUGACGCUGAGGAGCGAAAGCAUGGGUAGCGAACAGG
Molecule: ribosomal RNA, 253 nt
Filed under: uncultured bacterium
Lineage: Bacteria
Description: partial 16S ribosomal RNA
Rfam family: Bacterial small subunit ribosomal RNA
Source: RNAcentral